GAGUUUGAUCGUGGCUCAGAGUGAACGCUGGCGGUAGGCCUAACACAUGCAAGUCGAACGGCAGCACAGGAGAGCUUGCUCUCUGGGUGGCGAGUGGCGGACGGGUGAGGAAUACAUCGGAAUCUACCUUUUCGUGGGGGAUAACGUAGGGAAACUUACGCUAAUACCGCAUACGACCUUCGGUGAAGCAGGGACCGUUCGGCCGUUGCGCGGAUAGAUGAGCCGAUGUCGGAUUAGCUAGUUGGCGGGGUAAAGGCCCGACCAAGGCGACGAUCCGUAGCUGGUCUGAGAGGAUGAUCAGCCACACUGGAACUGAGACACGGUCCAGACUCCUACGGGAGGCAGCAGU
RNAcentral lists this ribosomal RNA (349 nucleotides) under uncultured Gammaproteobacteria bacterium. RNAcentral describes it as "bacterial SSU rRNA". It matches the Rfam family "Bacterial small subunit ribosomal RNA", at positions 9 to 355 of the family's 1533-position model. The record is from RNAcentral. Lineage: Bacteria; Pseudomonadati; Pseudomonadota; Gammaproteobacteria.